This 532-nucleotide long non-coding RNA is filed under the name Malus domestica (apple). RNAcentral describes it as "long non-coding RNA (MDOM_LNC017394)". Lineage: Eukaryota; Viridiplantae; Streptophyta; Magnoliopsida; Rosales; Rosaceae. The record is from RNAcentral.
CCUUGUGAUUUCCUUUCUUUUGAUGUGAGGAAAGGAUCUCCAAAAACACCAAAGAUUUGGUGUCUUUAAGUCUCCACACCAAGGAUGAGGUGUGAAGAUAAAAUGGAUGACUUAGAGAAGAAAAGAUUGCUAGCUAAAUCCUCUCUAAGUGGCCGGCCUCCUUGUAGAGAAAAAGAGAGAAAGUGUUUCACCUCUUUGCCUCAAGAAAACCCUAAUGAGAAAAUAGCUAUAAAGUGGACUUUAUACUACAUCACAUUUGAGUGGCAAACUUGUAAUUAAUUCAAGUUUGCAUCCACUCUCCCUUAUGGCCAGCCUUGUCUUUGUUGUUGGGCUAAUUGCCCAUUUUGUUUUAGUUGUCAUACAACUUAAACAUAAAGGGCUUUGUGGACCAAAACACUUUUGGGCCCCGAAACCCAAAACCAACUUAAAAGCCCAAUACGAACCUUUCGUAAAAUUAUUUAACUAAUUAAUUAAUCUUGACCAUUUUCAAUUAAACCAUUAAUUGCAUAUCCAUUUCAUUUAUAUUUCUUCA